This 52-nucleotide microRNA precursor is filed under the name Pteropus alecto (black flying fox). Its description in RNAcentral is "mir-1302 microRNA precursor family". It matches the Rfam family "mir-1302 microRNA precursor family". RNAcentral also lists the same sequence under 1 other name. Lineage: Eukaryota; Metazoa; Chordata; Mammalia; Chiroptera; Pteropodidae. The record is from Rfam by way of RNAcentral.
UGUUUAGUAUAAGUAUGUCCCAUGCAAUAUUUGUGAUGUACUUAUACCAAAA